Molecule: ribosomal RNA, 253 nt
Filed under: uncultured bacterium
Lineage: Bacteria
Description: partial 16S ribosomal RNA
Rfam family: Bacterial small subunit ribosomal RNA
Source: RNAcentral
UACAGAGGUCCCAAGCGUUGUUCGGAUUCACUGGGCGUAAAGGGUGCGUAGGUGGUUAGGUAAGUCUGAUGUGAAAUCUCUGGGCUCAACCCAGAAACUGCAUUGGAUACUAUCUAGCUAGAGGAGUGGAGGGGGGACUGGAACACUUGGUGUAGCAGUGAAAUGCGUAGAUAUCAAGUGGAACACCAGUGGCGAAGGCGAGUCCCUGGACACUUCCUGACACUGAGGCACGAAAGCUAGGGGAGCAAACAGG